GACGAACGCUGGCGGCGUGCUUAACACAUGCAAGUCGAACGGAAAGGCCCUGCUUUUGUGGGGUGCUCGAGUGGCGAACGGGUGAGUAACACGUGAGUAACCUGCCCUUGACUUUGGGAUAACUUCAGGAAACUGGGGCUAAUACCGGAUAGGAGCUCCUGCUGCAUGGUGGGGGUUGGAAAGUUUCGGCGGUUGGGGAUGGACUCGCGGCUUAUCAGCUUGUUGGUGGGGUAGUGGCUUACCAAGGCUUUGACGGGUAGCCGGCCUGAGAGGGUGACCGGCCACAUUGGGACUGGGAUACGGCCCAGACUCCUACGGGAGGCAGCAGUGGGGAAUAUUGCACAAUGGGCGGAGGCCUGAUGCAGCAACGCCGCGGGCGGGAUGACGGCCUUCGGGUUGUAAACCGCUUUCGCCUGUGACGAAGCGUGAGUGACGGUAAUGGGUAAAGAAGCACCGGCUAACUACGUG
Molecule: ribosomal RNA, 468 nt
Filed under: uncultured bacterium
Lineage: Bacteria
Description: partial 16S ribosomal RNA
Rfam family: Bacterial small subunit ribosomal RNA
Source: RNAcentral